Long non-coding RNA from Dendronephthya gigantea, 415 nucleotides. RefSeq lists it as uncharacterized. The transcript is spliced from 3 exons. The record is from RefSeq and is a predicted model, not a curated record. Lineage: Eukaryota; Metazoa; Cnidaria; Anthozoa; Malacalcyonacea; Nephtheidae.
UAGCGCCCUACAGAGGGUUUGACAAGUUUAACCAAGGUAGGAUUUGUCAUGAAUGCAAACUAAAAUACUUACUUGGAAUAAUUGACUCAAACUGCGACUCUAGAAGUUUUCUUUGACCAGAAGCACUAUCGCCCGAGUAUUGAACCUUCAUUCAAGAAGCAGAAUGAACAUCCAAAAGGAUUUGGUACAGCAAAGCACGCUGUCAUCAUAGGAAUUGAUGGAUUCGGCGGAGAGUAUCUGAGAAAUGUUUCGGGACAACUUCCAGCUAUUCAGACGUUUUUCGACUACGGUGCCUUCUCAACCAAAGCUAGAAAUAUUGCACCCACUACGUGGAUACUUAUGACGUGCUGAAAGAGAUUCCGCGGAGGAACACCAAUAUGAAAGCAUGCCUCGUCAAAGGAGAUCAAGUCAAAUU